This 54-nucleotide small RNA is filed under the name Escherichia coli. Its description in RNAcentral is "partial RtT sRNA". It matches the Rfam family "RtT RNA", at positions 77 to 130 of the family's 130-position model. From Rfam's summary of the family: This family represents a bacterial cis-regulatory element known as RtT RNA. The exact function of RtT is unknown although it is thought that it may be involved in changing the cellular response in relation to amino acid starvation. Lineage: Bacteria; Pseudomonadati; Pseudomonadota; Gammaproteobacteria; Enterobacterales; Enterobacteriaceae. The record is from RNAcentral. RNAcentral also lists the same sequence under 2 other names.
CAACGACCCGAAGGGUGAAGCGCGCAGCGCUGAGUAAUCCUUCCCCCACCACCA